GUGGCUGCUACUCUUGUAUAUCACUAUUACUAAAAUCAUGAUAACCAUCAUGCCGGCAAGCUAGCAACUCCUAGAUAGUCCAAUGAUAAUCUAAAAUUUAGUUGCAUAAACUGCAAGCAAGUUCAGAAAGUAACUUAGGUUUGCGUGCAAAAACAAAUCCCUCAAAGAAAAAUUGAAAUAAGAAGUGCAUAACAAGAAUAGAAGCAAGUUUAGUUAGAGAUUCUAAUGCAGGUGCGGCAUUCUAAACAUAAGAUUCCUACUACUAUAGUCUAGGAUGCAAAUCAUGCUGCACUAAACAGUAGUGAAUUCAUAGCCAACAAAACGAAGCCACACUUGCAGAUCAUAGCAAUCCAGUGAACCACCAUUCUCUCGAUGCUUAAUAACAUGCAAAAUACAGGUAUAUUUUCAUCAAGUCCAAUGUACCAGCAAAUAUGAUCCCUUCUUGAAGCUUCCAUUAUCACAACAAAUAAUAACCAACAAGCUGUCAAAACAGACAUGACAAUUUCAGCUAAGCGGAUAAAUCCAUCUAACGUUCCAUCCUAUCAAGGACUGCAUUUUACCAACCACAGGCACCAUUAAUAAACUAAUCAUAGCAUAAGAAGGUGUUGAAUUGAGUUUUCUAUGCCACCAUGUGAGAGGAUUGCCUGCAUUCACAUUAUUCUUCCAUGCGGUCCUCCGUUUGUGAUUGAGAAACCUUUAUUUUCAUCUUUGGAAGAGUGAGGGAAGGAUCCUCUUGGAGGGCAGCAGGUGCUUUGACCAAAUGAAUACU
This 769-nucleotide long non-coding RNA is filed under the name Phoenix dactylifera (date palm). Its description in RNAcentral is "long non-coding RNA (PDAC_LNC014719)". The record is from RNAcentral. Lineage: Eukaryota; Viridiplantae; Streptophyta; Magnoliopsida; Arecales; Arecaceae.